This 322-nucleotide long non-coding RNA is filed under the name Cyanistes caeruleus (blue tit). RNAcentral's name for it is "lncRNA (ENSCCEG00000014970.1)". The record is from RNAcentral. Lineage: Eukaryota; Metazoa; Chordata; Aves; Passeriformes; Paridae.
UAGUCAGAUAGUUAUUUCUAGCUACCAGUACCUUCCAUCAGUAAUGUCUUUUCCUGGUAACAUUUCAUCUUCAUUUCAAGAUGCUGAGGUCUUGGCAACACAUACAGUAGAUGUUGAUCACAUUCAGCUGGGGAUCUUUUCAUGUACUGGCUGCCAGCAGCUUCAAGAAGCCACAGCACAGAAAGGGAAGGAAGAGGUACUGUGGGAUCCCAGCCACAAAGGUCUUCCUUGCUGUUCAAAAAAGAUUCUAGUAAAAGAGAGAUUUUUUUUUAAAAGAAAAAGGAUCUGCAAGCAAGUGGAACUAUGCAUGAGAUGUUCAUGA